Molecule: small nuclear RNA, 157 nt
Organism: Salvia splendens (bonfire salvia)
Lineage: Eukaryota; Viridiplantae; Streptophyta; Magnoliopsida; Lamiales; Lamiaceae
Product: U1 spliceosomal RNA
Exons: 1
Source: RefSeq, a predicted model, not a curated record
AAAAUUGAUUGGAAAUUAUCUUUGUGAUCCUUAUGGCCCAUGGCCUAGUUUGGCUACCUUCAUUGCAUUUUGAAGGGUCGCCCAACUAAGCUCGGCCCAAGUGGUCGAGCUACGCUGUAAUUUGUGACAUAGGGGAUUGCGCUCGCGCGGCUUCUGU